GUCCAGACUCCUACGGGAGGCAGCAGUGGGGAAUAUUGCACAAUGGGGGAAACCCUGAUGCAGCGACGCCGCGUGAGUGAAGAAGUAUUUCGGUAUGUAAAGCUCUAUCAGCAGGGAAGAAAAUGACGGUACCCGACUAAGAAGCCCCGGCUAACUACGUGCCAGCAGCCGCGGUAAUACGUAGGGGGCAAGCGUUAUCCGGAUUUACUGGGUGUAAAGGGGGCGCAGACGGCGAUGCAAGCCAGGAGUGAAAGUCCGGGGGCCAACCCCGGGACUGCUCUGGAAACUGCGUCGCUGGAGUACGGGAGGGGCAGGCGGAAUUCCUGGUGUAGCGGUGAAAUGCGUAGAUAUCAGGAGGAACACCGGCGGCGAAGGCGGCCUGCUGGACCGUGACUGACGUUGAGGCUCGAGAGCGUGGGGAGCAAACAGGAUUAGAUACCCCUGUA
This 446-nucleotide ribosomal RNA is filed under the name uncultured bacterium. RNAcentral describes it as "bacterial SSU rRNA". It matches the Rfam family "Bacterial small subunit ribosomal RNA", at positions 329 to 792 of the family's 1533-position model. The record is from RNAcentral.